UAGACGUAACGAUACCGUAGCGCCGCGGAUCUUCGGUUGGCCCCGGAUAGCCGGCCUCGGUCGGUGAGCAGAGCCGUUCGCGACAGGGCUGGGGCGCGGCCGGACGACGGUCGCCCCUCUCCUAUCUCGCACCGCAUGUUUGUGGAGAACCUGGUGCUAAAUCACUUGUAGACGACCUGAUUCUGGGUCAGGGUUUCGUACGUAGCAGAGCAGCUCCCUCGCUGCGAUCU
Molecule: ribosomal RNA, 230 nt
Filed under: Echeneis naucrates (live sharksucker)
Lineage: Eukaryota; Metazoa; Chordata; Actinopteri; Carangiformes; Echeneidae
Description: partial 28S ribosomal RNA
Source: RNAcentral